ACUGGCUGUGAGCGGGUGUUUGGGUUACUCUCUGUUGGGAGUGGUGCCAAUAUCCAUGCCCUGGUGCCAGGCCUCAGGGGGCUGGAAGUACAGAGCAGUCUGGGGCACCUGAGCACCAGUCAGUGCUCCAUGCAGGGCUGUGGUGUCACACGCCCAAGGCCACAUGCCUGCCAGGAAGGGCAGAGGCUAUCCCGAGCAGCAGACAUUACCCAGGGCCCCGGGGGUCAGAACAGGGGCUGAGCCUCACUCCCAGCCCAGCCUCCCAUCACCUGAGGCUACAGUCUUCCUGACCCCUCCCAGGUGGUCCUUCCUGCGUUGCUGGCAGGAUGGCGGUGGCUUUCUGCAGUGUCCUCUGGCCUGGGUCCCACUCCUGCUGGGAGGCAGAGCCAGUGCUUCCCAGAAGCCAACAAGCUGCAAAGUGGUUCUUCCCACAGCUGUGGCUGUGGCCAGCUGCUGGGAGGAGCCUGUCCAUUGGCUCCUGGACUGCCUUGCUCAGGACCUCUGGAUGCCAGGGGUGGUAUCAGGGCCUCUAAUUCUACAUGCUGAGCACUCAGCUUAGAGAAACGGUGUCACGGUGCUGGGGUAGGAACAGAGGAGGCUAAAUGAAGGACUCCGGAGAGCUGCAGGUGGAUCUGGACCAAAUUCAGAACCCAAUGCCUUACUCCCUCCUGGGGAAGGAGCUGGGCAGAGACUUGGGGCAGGCAGUGAGGUGGGGAUAGGUGAGCAGCACUCGUGGCGACUGGCCCGUGUGAUUUAGGAGAGGUGUGGUAUGGGAUCCUAGGGAGAUGACCAGUCAGCCCUACCCUGGCUUUGACAUGGGGGUACCUGGCAGUGGUGGCUACAGAAGUCCAGUUUGCCACGAGAAGGGCACAUAAAAAGGCACUGGGGUGGGCACCUCUGGGGCAUGAGGUCACUGGGAGACACAGGGAUGGGGUGGGUCACGUGCGUGGAAGACUCGGCAGUGAACAGCACAGGCCCGAGCCCAUCCCGUCCAUGUGAGCUUAUGGCCUGAUGCAGAGACUACCAGGGGCUCCAGGAAAGCUAAGGUGCAUGGAAACGAUGGGCCAGGGCCGGGCCCAGGGUGGUUUAGGGAAUGCCAGUGUCUUGGGUAGAAUAGCAAGGCCUGAGAUUGUAACUGAGCUGACAGCAGGGCAAAGUGAAGGAGCCCAGUAUUGGAAGAUCGGCUCCAAAUGUAUCUCUGCAAGGAGACUGCAAGCAAGCUCGUGUGUGAAGGACCAGGCAGAGGCGAGGGCUAAGUGAGGCCAGCAGUGGCCUGGGCACAGUAAGAUGGUGAGAAGCCACCAGAGCUCCUAUGCAGGAGUGCAACACCAUUGCUGUUUAAUUCAGUUUGGCUUCACCUGUUUAAAACUGUUAACUCUCUAGAAGGGUGAAAAGUGAACGCCUCCCUCCUGCCCCUGCCCAGCCGCUCGGUGUCCCCAGGCACCAGCGCUGCUCCCAGUCUCCAGAGUCCUCCAGGGCUCUUCAUUUCUGGGCUAGAAGCAGGGAAACCAGAGUGUGACGGGGAAGAAGAGGAGGUGGAGGACGGCCGAUGGGGUCACACGCUGCUGGGAUGCCAGCUGAGAGCAGUGGGGCACUGCUGAGCUGAGGGACUGGGUGGGUGCAGAUGGAGCCCUCCCUGAGAUUUAGGACACAUCCAAGGGUGACAGCUUGAGGUUGGGUUUUUAUUAUUUUAUUUGUAUAGUACAAUCUCUGUGGUAGCAGAAAUAUAUGCACAAAAAACAAUUCAAAUAAGAGUUCAGAGUAAAAAAAAGUCAGCUAAGACUGUAUCCCGCGGGACAUUUCAUAUAUAUGGAUUUCACAGCUACACUCAAUCCACGCCGUGCACCACAUAGAGGCUGCUGUCUCCCACAAGAAUGAUGAUGUCAGGGACAUCGGGAAAGGAGGGGAGAGCUCUGCUCCACACGCAGGCGGUCUUGGCUGCUCCGGAGCAAUCCACUGCUCCAGCUUCAGCCAUGGGACCAAGAGGAUAGAGGAGCAGCUUCUGGGGGCCCCAGGCAGAAGCCACCUUGCAGUAGUGACUGGCGACUUCACAGUACAUCUCUACUCACUUGCCGUCCCUUGGGAGUGAGCAGCGUCUAUAACACAUCGCCAUCUACAAAAGCCUGGUCACAGUGUUCACCAGCACAUUCAUGAAAAAAAAAAAUUUAAAUCAACAUUAACCAAAGUACCUGCAAGUAACACUGCUUACUCUUGCUGUUUGCCCUUUCUGACUGGAAACCUUAGCCCCCAAAUAUGAAACGCCUUCUCUAGAUUAAAAGGAUUCAGAGAUGUUGCACUAUUGCACU
Molecule: long non-coding RNA, 2306 nt
Organism: Rhinopithecus roxellana (golden snub-nosed monkey)
Lineage: Eukaryota; Metazoa; Chordata; Mammalia; Primates; Cercopithecidae
Exons: 2
Source: RefSeq, a predicted model, not a curated record